RNAcentral lists this transfer RNA (68 nucleotides) under Petroschmidtia toyamensis. RNAcentral's name for it is "tRNA-Phe". The record is from RNAcentral. Lineage: Eukaryota; Metazoa; Chordata; Actinopteri; Perciformes; Zoarcidae.
GCUAACGUAGCUUAAACAAAGCAUAACACUGAAGUUGUUAAGAUGGGCCCUAGAAAGCUCCGCAGGCA